GGGUUGUGAGGUUAAGCGACUAAGCGUACACGGUGGAUGCCCUGGCAGUCAGAGGCGAUGAAGGACGUGCUAAUCUGCGAUAAGCGUCGGUAAGGUGAUAUGAACCGUUAUAACCGGCGAUUUCCGAAUGGGGAAACCCAGUGUGAUUCGUCACACUAUCAUUAACUGAAUCCAUAGGUUAAUGAGGCGAACCGGGGGAACUGAAACAUCUAAGUACCCCGAGGAAAAGAAAUCAACCGAGAUUCCCCCAGUAGCGGCGAGCGAACGGGGAGCAGCCCAGAGCCUGAAUCAGUGUGUGUGUUAGUGGAAGCGUCUGGAAAGGCGCGCGAUACAGGGUGACAGCCCCGUACACAAAAAUGCACAUGCUGUGAGCUCGAUGAGUAGGGCGGGACACGUGGUAUCCUGUCUGAAUAUGGGGGGACCAUCCUCCAAGGCUAAAUACUCCUGACUGACCGAUAGUGAACCAGUACCGUGAGGGAAAGGCGAAAAGAACCCCGGCGAGGGGAGUGAAAAAGAACCUGAAACCGUGUACGUACAAGCAGUGGGAGCACGCUUAGGCGUGUGACUGCGUACCUUUUGUAUAAUGGGUCAGCGACUUAUAUUCUGUAGCAAGGUUAACCGAAUAGGGGAGCCGAAGGGAAACCGAGUCUUAACUGGGCGUUAAGUUGCAGGGUAUAGACCCGAAACCCGGUGAUCUAGCCAUGGGCAGGUUGAAGGUUGGGUAACACUAACUGGAGGACCGAACCGACUAAUGUUGAAAAAUUAGCGGAUGACUUGUGGCUGGGGGUGAAAGGCCAAUCAAACCGGGAGAUAGCUGGUUCUCCCCGAAAGCUAUUUAGGUAGCGCCUCGUGAAUUCAUCUCCGGGGGUAGAGCACUGUUUCGGCAAGGGGGUCAUCCCGACUUACCAACCCGAUGCAAACUGCGAAUAUCGGAGAAUGUUAUCACGGGAGACACACGGCGGGUGCUAACGUCCGUCGUGAAGAGGGAAACAACCCAGACCGCCAGCUAAGGUCCCAAAGUCAUGGUUAAGUGGGAAACGAUGUGGGAAGGCCCAGACAGCCAGGAUGUUGGCUUAGAAGCAGCCAUCAUUUAAAGAAAGCGUAAUAGCUCACUGGUCGAGUCGGCCUGCGCGGAAGAUGUAACGGGGCUAAACCAUGCACCGAAGCUGCGGCAGCGACACUGUGUGUUGUUGGGUAGGGGAGCGUUCUGUAAGCCUGCGAAGGUGUGCUGUGAGGCAUGCUGGAGGUAUCAGAAGUGCGAAUGCUGACAUAAGUAACGAUAAAGCGGGUGAAAAGCCCGCUCGCCGGAAGACCAAGGGUUCCUGUCCAACGUUAAUCGGGGCAGGGUGAGUCGACCCCUAAGGCGAGGCCGAAAGGCGUAGUCGAUGGGAAACAGGUUAAUAUUCCUGUACUUGGUGUUACUGCGAAGGGGGGACGGAGAAGGCUAUGUUGGCCGGGCGACGGUUGUCCCGGUUUAAGCGUGUAGGCUGGUUUUCCAGGCAAAUCCGGAAAAUCAAGGCUGAGGCGUGAUGACGAGGCACUACGGUGCUGAAGCAACAAAUGCCCUGCUUCCAGGAAAAGCCUCUAAGCAUCAGGUAACAUCAAAUCGUACCCCAAACCGACACAGGUGGUCAGGUAGAGAAUACCAAGGCGCUUGAGAGAACUCGGGUGAAGGAACUAGGCAAAAUGGUGCCGUAACUUCGGGAGAAGGCACGCUGAUACGUAGGUGAAGUCCCUCGCGGAUGGAGCUGAAAUCAGUCGAAGAUACCAGCUGGCUGCAACUGUUUAUUAAAAACACAGCACUGUGCAAACACGAAAGUGGACGUAUACGGUGUGACGCCUGCCCGGUGCCGGAAGGUUAAUUGAUGGGGUCAGCGCAAGCGAAGCUCUUGAUCGAAGCCCCGGUAAACGGCGGCCGUAACUAUAACGGUCCUAAGGUAGCGAAAUUCCUUGUCGGGUAAGUUCCGACCUGCACGAAUGGCGUAAUGAUGGCCAGGCUGUCUCCACCCGAGACUCAGUGAAAUUGAACUCGCUGUGAAGAUGCAGUGUACCCGCGGCAAGACGGAAAGACCCCGUGAACCUUUACUAUAGCUUGACACUGAACAUUGAGCCUUGAUGUGUAGGAUAGGUGGGAGGCUUUGAAGUGUGGACGCCAGUCUGCAUGGAGCCGACCUUGAAAUACCACCCUUUAAUGUUUGAUGUUCUAACGUUGACCCGUAAUCCGGGUUGCGGACAGUGUCUGGUGGGUAGUUUGACUGGGGCGGUCUCCUCCUAAAGAGUAACGGAGGAGCACGAAGGUUGGCUAAUCCUGGUCGGACAUCAGGAGGUUAGUGCAAUGGCAUAAGCCAGCUUGACUGCGAGCGUGACGGCGCGAGCAGGUGCGAAAGCAGGUCAUAGUGAUCCGGUGGUUCUGAAUGGAAGGGCCAUCGCUCAACGGAUAAAAGGUACUCCGGGGAUAACAGGCUGAUACCGCCCAAGAGUUCAUAUCGACGGCGGUGUUUGGCACCUCGAUGUCGGCUCAUCACAUCCUGGGGCUGAAGUAGGUCCCAAGGGUAUGGCUGUUCGCCAUUUAAAGUGGUACGCGAGCUGGGUUUAGAACGUCGUGAGACAGUUCGGUCCCUAUCUGCCGUGGGCGCUGGAGAAUUGAGGGGGGCUGCUCCUAGUACGAGAGGACCGGAGUGGACGCAUCACUGGUGUUCGGGUUGUCAUGCCAAUGGCACUGCCCGGUAGCUAAAUGCGGAAGAGAUAAGUGCUGAAAGCAUCUAAGCACGAAACUUGCCCCGAGAUGAGUUCUCCCUGACUCCUUGAGAGUCCUGAAGGAACGUUGAAGACGACGACGUUGAUAGGCCGGGUGUGUAAGCGCAGCGAUGCGUUGAGCUAACCGGUACUAAUGAACCGUGAGGCUUAACCUUACAACGCCGAAGGUGUUU
RNAcentral lists this ribosomal RNA (2930 nucleotides) under Escherichia coli. RNAcentral's name for it is "23S ribosomal RNA". It matches the Rfam family "Bacterial large subunit ribosomal RNA". The record is from RNAcentral. Lineage: Bacteria; Pseudomonadati; Pseudomonadota; Gammaproteobacteria; Enterobacterales; Enterobacteriaceae.